Numida meleagris (helmeted guineafowl) is the source of this 1777-nucleotide long non-coding RNA. RefSeq lists it as uncharacterized. The record is from RefSeq and is a predicted model, not a curated record. Lineage: Eukaryota; Metazoa; Chordata; Aves; Galliformes; Numididae. The transcript is spliced from 4 exons.
GGGCCCAGGCCUGAGGUGGGCUGGGAAAAAGCUCACUGAGAUGGUAGGCUCUAAGAGAGCAGCCUGAGCUCUGGGCGAGAGAGAAGAGGAAAGAGCCAUAGUACAUCACAGCACCGUAGAUCAGCAUCAGCUGCAAGUUCUAGCAGGCCUCCCCCACCCCUGCUUGCUGCUGAUUGAGGCAAUCUGUGGGAUAAAGGAGGGCUGGAGGAGGAAAAUCCCGCUGUACUUGAGCUGUGAUUUGGUGGGCAGCAGGCCACUGCAGGAGAGCAGCACAGGCUGGCACUGCACAGAGCCCAGGUCAGGGCUUGCACAAAGGCAACCAAGCUGGAGAAGAGCCACAAGCCCCAUGCCUGUCUGCCACUGGUAGUUUAUGCCUUUCAAACCCAGUUUUUCUCUCCAAAAACUGUGUUCUCCUUGUAGUCCUCGGCACUACUGGGCUGAAGGCAUCUGCCAACAAUGCCUCCUCCAAGGCAUGAUGCUCUGUCACUGCUGCUGCAUGGUGUGACACAUCCCUUUGGAUACCAGAGCUGUGCUGACAUGUGAGCUGGAAGCUGGGCUGUCUGCUUUGAGAUGCACAGAGCGUGCUGAGCGUGGCUCUGAGCCUCCCUACUGGGGUGUAUCUGUUUGUGAUGCUGGAACCUGCACCAAAACCUUCCAAAGUCCCUUGCUGCAGAAGUGAUGGACCCCGUGCUGCUGUGGGCUGUGCAUUGGGUUUCACAUCCAUCUGAACCAGAUGUUGGAAGCACGGGUGGCCCUGGAUCCUGAGGCCAUUAUGUUUAGGGAGUUUUCGAACAGUGGCAUCAGGAGACAUCGGUGAAGCCUGUAGGGUGGACCAGCCUGCAGUUUGGCCGAGCCUGUGAGAUGACACGCUGCUUCACACGUUUUAACCCACGAAAAUGUGUGCAAGAUGCAAAGGGGACGGAAAGGAGAGCAGUUCUCUGCGGAUCUGUGUAGUUACAGUGGGACAAAAUAAUUGAAGCAAUAUCAAUUGCUUUAAUGAAACUGCAUUUUCUCUCUGUUUCAGAACAGUGGCAGCUGCACGAGCUUUAUCCCACGCCCACCAAAGUCAAUAGAAAGAUCCUAUUGAUUUCAGCGGGGUUUGAAUCUUACUUAAUGAGAACUUCACUAAAGGCAACUUGCACAUGUCCAGAGUGAUGUUGUAAGGGAAACCGCUUUCUGCUGUGCAUUUUAAAACGGGUCACUUUGGUGAGGAAUGCUGAUUCCUAGAAAGCUGUCCUUGUCUUAAUUUAUCUGUGCGUGUGGGUAGGGUUCUUCAACCCACGGGUCACAAAGCAGUCCGCCAGUUACAGCAGUUGACUGACCUGUAAAAAACCAUACUAAUAAAAAGAUCUGGUUGGAAUAAGUGGAAUAAAAUGACCUUUAGGAAUGGAUGUGUUCGAGUUUCUGACAGUGACCUUUGCUCACUCGCACUGUGCUUCAGGUGUGGUUUGUGGAGUGCUGUUUGCUUUCACUGUCCUGAUGUUCCUCGCUUUUUUCUGUAACUCAUUCCUGAUGCUGUUGCCUAAUGAAAUGAGCUCCCUAAUAAUUAUUGGGUAACCUAUAAAGUGCAUCUACAUUUAUAUGUGGGAAACCUUAUCUUAAAAUCUACCUUCAUUAAGACUUGACAAAAUGCAGUGAACUAAUGCUUGCAAGUAAAAUUUAUUCCAGGUAGAAUUUCUUAAAAUUGGGCUUUUUUAAUAUCAGUGGUAAUAGAUGGAAUAUCUUAGAUUGUCCUUAGCAGAAAUUGUUCAAGAUGCAUAAGCCAAAAUUGUUUUUC